CCUUCAGCUCGCGCAGAGUUUACACACAAACAGAGCCCGGGCUGGAAUUCAACCCCACAGCUGACCCUCCCUGCAGCCAGCACAAAUCACAGGAGUCGUUUCUGAUACUAUCGAGAAAAAGAUGCCUGCGCCUACCCCCACCCGACCCCCCUACUGAUGGGAGAACCUCUCAAAAUGGUCAGGAGAAGGCCACAUUUUAGAAGGGAUUCCCUGGACGCUCAAAAUAACCAAGCCAGGAAAAGAAAGAAAGAAAGAAAGAAAGAAAGAAAGAAAGAAAAGUGACCACCAGCUGUUUACCUCCAUCUUGGGAGCUGAGCCAAUUAUGUGAGUGCCCAUUUGCAUCCAUCAAAUUGAAGGCCUCAAAAUAAAAUACAUCCUGGAGGAGUGUAUGUUGUUAUGUUGUGUUCGGCCUCGUCCAGCCAACAACAGCACACAGAGAAGUACACCGAGAGAGAGAGAGAGAGAGAGAGAGAGAGACGUGAAGAACGACCCAAGAAGAAAACGCGUGCACAGGACCUGCCUGUCUCCGUGCUACCCAGCACACUGCAUGUGAUCCGCGUCCCUCCACUGUCCCCUAGGUGAGUGACAGGUAAUGGCAACCCUUCCGUCCUUUCCUUUCCUAUCUGCUGGAGACACCCAUCAGCGGCGUGGUCAUUAGGACAAAUAUCUAUGCCCUAAUUUGGAGCAGAUGUUUGGAAGAAAGGGAUCAUUUAAAAAGGCCAAA
Long non-coding RNA from Alosa alosa (allis shad), 724 nucleotides. RefSeq lists it as uncharacterized. NCBI's taxonomy places the organism in Eukaryota, Metazoa, Chordata, Actinopteri, Clupeiformes, Clupeidae. The transcript is spliced from 3 exons. The record is from RefSeq and is a predicted model, not a curated record.